UCCGGACACGAGGAUAGGCUCCUCGCAACCGGAAAAGGCCGGAGCUAAAAGACGUCAGGCGUCCUUGCGGAAGUGGACGACGCUCUCAUUGGCUGCGGGACGUCUGGCUGCGGGAGCGGGCCUUUUGGAGGAGACCGGAAGUGGAGGAACUGAGAGGUGACCAGAAAUGGAGAGAAAAGUAAGCAGAAUCUGUCUUGCUUCUGAACCUGAUGUAAUUCAUUUUCUACAAGUGGCUUGGGAGAAAACACUAGGAUCUGGUUUUGUUAUUACACUUACUGAUGGUCAGUCAGCAUGGACCGGGACAGUUUCUGAGUCCGAGAUUUCCCAAGAAGCCGAUGACAUGGCAUUGGAAAAAGAGAAAUAUGUUGAUGAACUGAGAAAAGCACUGGUAUUAGGAGGAGGACCAGCUGAUGCAUACAAAUUUGAUUUUUCUAGAGAGUCUUGUCAUUUCUCCUUUGAGAAAAACCUGAAAGAUGUUUCAUUCAGACUUGGUUCCUUCAACCUGGAGAAAGUUGCAAAUCCAGCUGAGGUCAUUAGAAAACUUAUUUGUGAUUGCCUGGAUACUAUCACAGAAAACCAAGCCAAAAAUGAGCACCUGCAGAAGGAAAAUGAAAGGCUUCUGAGAGAUUGGAAUGAUGUUCAAGGACGAUUUGAAAAAUGCGUGAGUGCUAAGGAAGCUGUGGAGACUGAUCUUUAUAAACGGUUUAUUCUGGUGCUGAAUGAGAAGAAAGCGAAGAUUAGAAGCUUACAUAAAUUAUUAAAUGAAGUUCAAGAACUAGAAAAGAACAUUGAGCCUGAAAGGGAAACCACAACAUGUUCUGAAAUGACUGCUGACAGAGAUGCAGUCUAUGAUGAAAGCACUGAUGAGGAAAGGGAAAACCUGCCUGAUCCUUCUGUGUUAGCUCCAGCUACUUUAAGAGGAGAUGAUUCCAUUAUUUCAAGUCCUGAUGUCACAGAUAUUGCACCAAGUAGAAAGAGGAGGCAGCGGAUGCAAAAGAAUCUUGGGACAGAACCUAAAAUGGCUUCUCAGGUACAUGGGCCUCAAGAAAAGGAGAAGCUUGAUCCUUCACUACCUGAGACGUCAAAAAAGGAGCACAGCUCAGCUGAAAACAUGUCUUUAGAAACUCUAAGAAACAGUAGUUCAGAAGACCUCUUUGAUGAGAUUUAACUGUCUCAAAAAGGACCCAAGGCUUCUUCUCAAUUGAAAACUGUUUCUGGCAGCAUGUAUAUGAGGAUAUUUGCUUCAUUGUGCCUAGGAUCGGCCAGAUCAGGGACUUGAAAUGUGAACCUAUUUUCUGCAUGUGGGUGGGACUGGAACCUUGUCAUCCCUAGUGCAGCAAAAGAUGAUACCAUGUCUAAGAACACUUCACCUGAUCACUAAAAAAGAAGACGUGAAAUGUGAUCCUAAAGCUCAGAAGGAGGUUCAGAUGAAGAUAAUGAAAUUCCCUGGACACCCACCUGCCAGCUACACCUUUCUUGUCCAGUCAUUGGCUGACUGCCCCUGACUCCUGCCAAGUUCCUGAAGACAAGAUCAAGGCAACGAAGCAAGGCACGCAGCUUCUGGCUUCUGGUUUCUUGUAGACACCUGCACUAGGAAUGAAGAUCUUGCUUUAUCGAUACCUGGGACUAUGGAGUUUACAUACAGAAUAUCCCCAGUAUAAGGACAUGAUUUAAAGGGGGAUACAUAGAAUGAGAUUUUAGUUACUGUUUGAUUCAGACUUGAGUGUAAUGGGCAAAGUAGUUUUAGUUAUAAAGGUUACAAAAAUAUACUUUCCCAUUCAAAACCUUGUGAUAAUUUUUAAAACGUGGGAGAAUCAGAAAUAACUGCUUUGUCAUUCAUUUUGUCUUCAUGAAGAGAGAAAGAGAGACACAGGGAGAGAGAGGCAGGGAGGGAGAGGGAGAAAGAGAGAGAGAGGGAGAAGUCCUCAAGGACAGUUAAAUGGAAAUAAUACAUCUAUAGAGUCUAUUCUGAAUGUACCUUGUAUACUUUCCUUUUUAUUCCCUAUUAUAGGGAAAUUAGAGAAAGCAAGCUGAUAUUUGGGGGUGUCGUUUCAUUUUGCUUAUUUGGCAGCCUGCAGGAGUGUUUAAUUUUCUAAAUAAUGUUACAAGCCGAGGUAAAGAAAAGGCAUGCGGUAUAAAGCUGUUCAGAAUUGUCCAUGUUCUGACUAGUGAAGUCUGCCUGAGAAAGUGCCUUUGCCCUAUAGAACUGCUCUGUCAAGAGUUGUAAUGUCCGUGGACAUUAUAAGGGACUAUAAACAUUAGAGGGCUAGAGAAACACAUUUGGGAAGAUAAAGGAAAAUAUCUCAGGAUGUACGUAGUCUCUGACCCUUAUUUUUCAUCAUGUUUCAUCAUGUAAAGUUGGCAUUAUUUACAGGGACUGUUAAAUAUUAACAUUUCCUUAAAAAUGGUUAUUAAUCUGCUAUUAGUUGCUUUCUUCCGCCUUAGGUCUCCUUUGCAGAAAUGUUUUACUUAACUGUAUUAUGAAGGGAGAGCAGGGUAAUGGAAAGAUAAUAAGCUUUUCAGAUUGGCAGAUGUACCACUUAGAAAGUAGCCACAGGCAAGACAUUUAAACUCUUUGGAACUCAACUAGGUUUACUCAAAUUUAAGAAUGAGAACAAUAAUAUAUACUUUGAGGUGUCUCAGAGAAAGGUCUGUCCUAAUACCUGGAGUAUAAAUUUCGAUAAGGAGUUUUCUCCCUUUUUGAGUGAAGUGAUCUUGUUUAUAAAGUUGCUAGGAGGGGCACCUGGGUGGCUCAGUCAUUAAAGCGUGUGCCUUAAGCUCAGGUCAUGAUCCCAGGACCCUGGGAUCUAGCCCGCUUUGGGCUCCCUGCUUGGCCGGAAGCCUGCUUCUCCCUCUCCCACUUCCCCUGCUUGUGUUCCCUCUCUCUCUGUGUCUUUCUCUGUCAAAUAAAUAAAAUCUUUAAAAAAAGUUGCUAGGAGGAGUGCUGGAAAGACCACUGGACCUGGAGUCAAGAGUUGUGUUCUGGUAAUAGCUCUGCUGUUAAUUGUCUGACUUUAGGAAAAAUCACUUUCUGAGCUUUAGUUUGCUUAUCUGCUAAAUGUAAAGGUUGAAAUCUGAUUCUGUUCUGUGACUCUGUUAUUCUAAAUACUUAAUGAAAUAGAACUUCAAUGUUAAGAACGGUGGUAUAAAAACUAUAGUAAGAAUAAAAAAAUAAUUGUAAAACAAACAAAAAAAUUGAUUCCUAAAUCCUGUAGUUAAUAGUUAUGUUAUUCACUGUAGUGAGCUGAUAAAUAAAUAAAUAAUGAGAAAUGGAAAGCAC
This is an RNA transcript of Mirounga angustirostris (Northern elephant seal), 3280 nucleotides long. It is a transcript of the gene named X-ray repair cross complementing 4, with no coding region annotated. The transcript has 10 exons. NCBI's taxonomy places the organism in Eukaryota, Metazoa, Chordata, Mammalia, Carnivora, Phocidae. The record is from RefSeq and is a predicted model, not a curated record.